RNAcentral lists this long non-coding RNA (849 nucleotides) under Danio rerio (zebrafish). Its description in RNAcentral is "si:ch211-152p11.8 (ENSDARG00000095427.4)". Lineage: Eukaryota; Metazoa; Chordata; Actinopteri; Cypriniformes; Danionidae. The record is from RNAcentral.
UGCGUGCACGCUGCCAUGAUCCUUCAUUAUGCGGAUGUUUGUGGGCUAGGAGACAGUGACAAAUUUGCUUCUUUCGUAUUAGUUAAAAUAUCUUUUUGGUUUUAUAUUAUAUAUACACGUUUACUUUGAAAAUGUCGAUAGUCUGUGCGUUUACCUGAAAGCAGUAUCUGUAAAAUAACUGACGUUGGCUGCUCACGGCCUCUCCCUCGUGGUCGUAAUUUUAUUUAGUUAAGCAUUUUUAUCGAAUAUGACUUGAUAAUUUUUUAGUAAGCUUUUGAAAAUGCUUGCUGCUUAUAAAUAUUGUUGUGUAGAGAACCAAAGUCCAAGAAACGGUGCGAAAGGGCAAACGCAGAUUUCUUGUUGGAUGGCAGGCCGUUGACGCCAACUGUUGACAACCAUUAUGUUGGAUGAGAGAAAUUGAGGCUGGUAGACGAUGCCAACAGUUGACGACCAAUUGGUUGGAUGGAAGAAAUUGAGGCCAGUAGAUGAUGCCAACAGUUGACGAUCAGUUGGUUGGAUCAAAGAAACUGAGGCUGGUAGUCGAUGUCAACAGUUGACAAUAAAAUGGUUAGAUGAGUGAAAUCAGUUGCCUUGUAGCAGAUGCCAUCUUUCAGCAAAAAAAAGAGUUUGGAUGAGAAAAACAGAGGCUGCCAGGUAGCUGAUGCCAACAAUAGGCGACCAAUGGUUUGGAUCAAACUGAAGCUGCUAGAUAGCUGAUGCCAACAAUACACAGCCAAUAGGUUGAAUGGAACAAAAGCCUGCUGGCUGAUUCUAAGUUGACAUCCAAUGGGUUUUCAACUACAGGGUUCGAAGCCAACAUGGAUGUCUUGGAUUCAUGAAUCUGCUUAA